GCAUAUCAAUAAGCGGAGGAAAAGAAACCAACCGGGAUUGCCUUAGUAACGGCGAGUGAAGCGGCAAAAGCUCAAAUUUGAAAUCUGGUACCUUCGGUGCCCGAGUUGUAAUUUGGAGAGGGCAACUUUGGGGCCGUUCCUUGUCUAUGUUCCUUGGAACAGGACGUCAUAGAGGGUGAGAAUCCCGUGUGGCGAGGAGUGCGGUUCUUUGUAAAGUGCCUUCGAAGAGUCGAGUUGUUUGGGAAUGCAGCUCUAAGUGGGUGGUAAAUUCCAUCUAAAGCUAAAUAUUGGCGAGAGACCGAUAGCGAACAAGUACAGUGAUGGAAAGAUGAAAAGAACUUUGAAAAGAGAGUGAAAAAGUACGUGAAGUUGUUGAAAGGGAAGGGCAUUUGAUCAGACAUGGUGUUUUGUGCCCUCUGCUCCUUGUGGGUAGGGGAAUCUCGCAUUUCACUGGGCCAGCAUCAGUUUUGGUGGCAGGAUAAAUCCAUAGGAAUGUAGCUUGCCUCGGUAAGUAUUAUAGCCUGUGGGAAUACUGCCAGCUGGGACUGAGGACUGCGACGUAAGUCAAGGAUGCUGGCAUAAUGGUUAUAUGCCGCCCGUCUUGAAACACGGACC
Molecule: ribosomal RNA, 615 nt
Filed under: uncultured yeast
Lineage: Eukaryota; Fungi
Description: eukaryotic LSU rRNA
Rfam family: Eukaryotic large subunit ribosomal RNA
Source: RNAcentral